This 58-nucleotide microRNA precursor is filed under the name Pteropus alecto (black flying fox). The record is from RNAcentral. Lineage: Eukaryota; Metazoa; Chordata; Mammalia; Chiroptera; Pteropodidae.
UUCGCAAGAAGGUGUCAUUCAUGUACACUAAAAUAUGAAUGGCGCCUUUUAGCGAAGA